RNAcentral lists this ribosomal RNA (358 nucleotides) under uncultured bacterium. RNAcentral describes it as "bacterial SSU rRNA". It matches the Rfam family "Bacterial small subunit ribosomal RNA", at positions 27 to 367 of the family's 1533-position model. The record is from RNAcentral.
GAAUCAACGCUGGCGGCGUGCCUAACACAUGCAAGUCGAACGAGAAAGUGACUUCGGUCACUGGACAGUGGCGUCCGGGUGAGUAACACGUGGGUAAUCUACCUUCGGGUGGGGAAUAACGUCGUCGAAACGGAGACGCUAAUACCGCAUAAUGCGAGCGGGCACCUUAUGGUGAAUAGUUGUUAAAGCGGGGGAUCGCAAGACCUCGCGCCUGAAGAGGAGCCUGCGGCAGAUUAGCUAGUUGGUGAGGUAAUGGCUCACCAAGGCUGCGAUCUGUAGCUGGUCUGAGAGGACGGCCAGCCACACUGGCACUGACACACGGGCCAGACUCCUACGGGAGCAGCAGUGGGAAUUUUGG